GUGGAUCUGAGCAGCACCUCUGGGUGCCGGAAGCCGAGGCCAGGCGAGCACGUGCCCGGUGCUAUUAGAGUGCCAGCUCAGACAGGCUGGCGAUGGAGGCGCUGCCAUUGCCCGCAGCUGUGGGUAGCAGAGCUGGGAUCAGCACCCACACUGCCCACCCUGGGGGCCAUGCUUUUGUAGGGAAGGGUGGAGAGUGGCUCUGGGACCAGAGAUGACUUGUGGGGCGAGCGGUCUACAUGGUCCCCCAGGCUCCCUGGCCUGCUCCCCUGGAGAGCGGGCCAGAGUACGUGACUCCAUGGGCAACACUGGGGACAGGAACUGCUCACCCGUGCACCAGGAGGGAGGCCACACGGGGCGUCCGUGCAGGCUCCAGUUCUGCCCUGCAAGGAAGUGGCUGCCGGGGUCUGAGAGUGCUGUCCAUUCCCGGCGGCCAUUCCAUCCUGUCCAAGGUGCCUGUAGUAGUCUCCCCCAUCCACAGUGUUGUCACGUGGGUGGCUCCGGCUCCUCGGCUUCUGCAGGGAUGAGGCUCCUGCCUGUGCACCUUCCACUUCUGACAGCGAGAGACAAACCCCUCCAUGAGGAGGCUUUUGCCAGCCGAUAGCAAUUGUCGAGAACGUUUCGGGUUCUGCAGGUCAGUGUGGGCCUCCUAAAUAGGGGAGCUGGGAGCAGACAGAGCAAAGCUGCCCGUCCUCCAGGACCUGUGUCUGCAUUCGGGGACAAUCAACUCAGCUGACUGCCCCUCCGAGCCUGGAGAGGAUUUGUUGGCAUUCAAGAGUCAAGAGAAGUUGUAGCAGGAAGGGACAGUGAGAAUAUGCACCAGCUGGCCUGCUAAAGCACUAGGUUUCCUAGUUUGGGGUCCCUCUAUGUGGUUCAGCCCUCUGUGCAUGCAGGUACAUGCACUCAGGCCACGUCGCCCCGUGGGGAUUGGGGCUGGGGAAUUGGUGGUAAGAGGCGGGCUGGGGCUAUCUGUGCACGAGGGAUCAGUGUCCUGUUUCUCCAGCUGGGGGUCUUGUGUUUGCGUGUGUGAACACACGUGGGGAACAACAGCAGGCACCUUGUGUUUUCGACUAGGCUGGCCGCUCAGAGGAGGAGAUCGAGGGUCCCGGGGCUGGUUAAUGCAUGUGAAGAAAUUCCGGGGUUCUAGGCUGGAGGCCUGACUCCGGGGACCCCAACAGACCAGGUCUGAUUACCCAAAAGGUCAUGGUGAGAGGCAGGGAAGGAGCUUUGUCAACCUGUCCGUGUGGGGAAGGCACGGGGGAUCCGCACCCAGCCCCGUCUUGAGGGGCUGCAGGUUUAAGUAGAGAAGAGGGGUGGGGCUGGAGGUCUGCUUAAUUAAGAGCCUUGGUCACGCUGAGGUCACCAUUUCAGUUCUGGUUCAGCGAGGUGUCUUUGCCGGAGAAGGCUUUGUCACUCGAUGGGCGGGUUUCACUUAUUGUCAGGGUGUUUACCUGUCAGGUGUUUCAGUUCCCAGGAGGCGGUCACUCCUGCUGGAGGGUGUCACUGUGGGGUGACGUUCCUGCCUCCCAGGUUCCUGGAAGGUGCAGGACAAAGAUGUUAGGGUCUGUAAACAAGUCAAGAUGGCGCCUGACAUUUUGCCAGGGGGAGUGGUUUGUGAGGUGGCCCCAGCGAGCCAUUAAGUGUGGAGAUUCCUGAUUGGCUGACUGCUGUAUCUAGUUUAUGUUAAUUAGAUAAGCUGUGUGGAAUGUCUAUAUACCCCUCCUGUCCUACAAUAAACGGCUCCCACUCCUGCUGAAUCAAUCUACGCAAGUUGCUCGUCACCCCCUGGUUAUUUUGCUGCAGCCGGACUGCGGCAGAUGGUGGCCCGUACCGGGAGCCCCAGGACACUCGGGGGUAAGUUGACGAAAAAAGCUGCCCGUCCCUAGAUAGGACGGGAGCAAAUCUGCUCGUCCCUAGAUAGGGCGAGAGGAAAAAUGGCCAUUUUGAGAAAAUGGAGAAGAUUGAUGCAGUAUGUUUGUGUCUUGUUUUGUCUUGAAAUGUUGUAUUGUCUUUGUGACGAAAAUAUGCAAGGGGUGUUAAGUAAAUUACUAAGGGAAGGAGGCACCCCAGUGGAACCAAGAAUAGUUAGGGCAUGUGUUGAUAAGAGCCCAGGAAUUCUAAUCAGAAAGAAAAAGAAAGUUCAGAAGAAGAAGGAUUAUCAGGAAAAAAGUUGCAGCAAAAGGCUAUUACUAAAUACUUUUUGUUACCGGAGGGUAUGUGAAUCGGCGCGGUGGCUGCCACGUGCGCGAGCCGGUCAUGGCGCAGCGAGGACUUUCCAAGUGGCGGCAGCCAGCUCUUCCCCGCCCCCCGACCGGGGAGUGGGAUGCCACUGCGAGAGCCCAAAUCUAGACCUGACCUGGAGGCAUAGUCUCGCAGGCUCUUGCUCCCUGUGCCCAGUGGCAGUUUGAGUCCGGAACACUCCCCGGACUCUCCCCGGGGCCAUCUGGGGCUGCCCGGGACGCUGCAGGUGGAAGACGGCCCAUGUCCCUAAAGUUUGAUCAUUUCCAAGGCCAGUAACUACAAUGGUUCUCCCACACCUGGAAGCUAAUGAGUAAUGAGCACUAUUAAGGCUUAUUUCAAAUGUGAAAAAAUCUUGAGAUAAUGCACUAAAUUGUUCAGAAAGUUGUUUUCUUAGUGCCUGCUGGAAUACUAUAGGAUUUUCUUUAGCAUCAUUGCCGGAGUUCCUGCCUUCGUCCCAGUGCCGGUGAGGAUGAGGGUGGAAGAAUUUCCAGUGUUGCUGAGAACUGGACGAGACUUCGGAUCAAGCUAGCUGCCUGCAAAACUUACCUAGACUGUGAUUUAAGCUAGCUGCCUGCAGAACUUACCUGGACUGUGAUUUACCUGGACUGUGAGUUAAUCUAUUGAGACACUGCUUUACCUGGACUGAGAGAACAAACUGUAAUCUACAACAAAUUGUAACUCGGUAUCUUUGCUAACGGUGUCAUUGCUGGUAUAAUUUUUCCAAGGGCUUCUUGCAUGGAGCCAUAAAUUGGCUUGGUAUUGUGGCAUUUUGUAUCCUCCCCUUCUGCUUGUAGCAGAUUAUUUAUGGUGUUUGUGUAAAAACCACUAUGGUCGUUAUUUAAAUUAAACAAAAGGGGGAAAUGUUAGGGUCUGUAAACAAGUCAAGAUGGCGCCUGGCAUUUUGCCAGAGGAAGUGGUUUGUGAAGUAACACCAGCGAGCCAUUAAGUGUGGAGAUUCCUUAUUGGUUGACUGCUGUAUCUAGUUUAUGUUAAUUAAGAUAAGCUGUUGGAAUGUAUAUAUCUACCCCUCCUGUCCUACAAUAAAUGGCUCCUACUCCUGCUGUAUCAAUGUA
This 3311-nucleotide long non-coding RNA is filed under the name Marmota monax (woodchuck). Lineage: Eukaryota; Metazoa; Chordata; Mammalia; Rodentia; Sciuridae. The record is from RNAcentral.